GCAUUGGCAAAAUCCAAUGCCGGGAUUCGAACCCCGCUAUAAUCAAGGCGCAGUUGUCGCCAGCCUUUAGAGCUGGUUUUUU
RNAcentral lists this small RNA (82 nucleotides) under Shewanella frigidimarina NCIMB 400. RNAcentral describes it as "isrK Hfq binding RNA". It matches the Rfam family "isrK Hfq binding RNA". Lineage: Bacteria; Pseudomonadati; Pseudomonadota; Gammaproteobacteria; Alteromonadales; Shewanellaceae. The record is from Rfam by way of RNAcentral.